AGUGAACGCUGGCGGCAGGCCUAAUACAUGCAAGUCGAACGGCAGCACAGCAGAGCUUGCUCUGUGGGUGGCGAGUGGCGGACGGGUGAGGAAUACAUGGGAAUCUGCCCAGUCGUGGGGAUAACGUAGGGAAACUUACGCUAAUACCGCAUGCGCCCUUCGGGGGAAAGCCGGGGACCUUCGGGCCUGGCGCGAUUGGAUGAGCCCAUGUCGGAUUAGCUAGUUGGCGGGUAAUGGCCCACCAAGGCGACGAUCCGUAGCUGGUCUGAGAGGAUGAUCAGCCACACUGGAACUGAGACACGGUCCAGACUCCUACGGGAGGCAGCAGUAGGGAAUAUUGGACAAAUGGGCGCAAGCCUGAUCCAGCCAUGCCGCGUGAGUGAAGAAGGCCCUCGGGUUGUAAAGCUCUUUUGUCCGGAAAGAAAAGCGCCGGGUUAAUACCCUGGUGUCCUGACGGUACCGGAAGAAUAAGCACCGGCUAAACUUCGUGCCAGCAGCCGCGGUAA
RNAcentral lists this ribosomal RNA (506 nucleotides) under uncultured bacterium. Its description in RNAcentral is "bacterial SSU rRNA". It matches the Rfam family "Bacterial small subunit ribosomal RNA", at positions 29 to 523 of the family's 1533-position model. The record is from RNAcentral.